CUACGCUUGGAUAUUUACACA
Molecule: non-coding RNA, 21 nt
Filed under: Caenorhabditis elegans
Lineage: Eukaryota; Metazoa; Nematoda; Chromadorea; Rhabditida; Rhabditidae
Source: RNAcentral